GACGAACGCUGGCGGCGUGCUUAACACAUGCAAGUCGAGCGGUAAGGCCCUUUCGGGGGUACGACGAGCGGCGAACGGGUGAGUAACACGUGGGUGACCCGCCCUUAGCUCUGGGAUAAGCCUGGGAAACUGGGUCUAAUACCGGAUAUGACUCCAUGACGCAUGUUGUGGGGUGGAAAGCCUUGUGCGGCUAGGGAUGGGCCCGCGGCCUAUCAGCUUGUUGGUGGGGUGAUGGCCUACCAAGGCGACGACGGGUAGCCGGCCUGAGAGGGCGACCGGCCACACUGGGACUGAGACACGGCCCAGACUCCUACGGGAGGCAGCAGUGGGGAAUCUUGCGCAAUGGGCGAAAGCCUGACGCAGCGACGCCGCGUGAGGGAUGACGGCCUU
This 390-nucleotide ribosomal RNA is filed under the name uncultured bacterium. RNAcentral describes it as "bacterial SSU rRNA". It matches the Rfam family "Bacterial small subunit ribosomal RNA", at positions 28 to 418 of the family's 1533-position model. The record is from RNAcentral.